This is an unclassified non-coding RNA of Callithrix jacchus (white-tufted-ear marmoset), 300 nucleotides long. It matches the Rfam family "Metazoan signal recognition particle RNA". From Rfam's summary of the family: The signal recognition particle (SRP) is a universally conserved ribonucleoprotein. It is involved in the co-translational targeting of proteins to membranes. The record is from Ensembl. Lineage: Eukaryota; Metazoa; Chordata; Mammalia; Primates; Cebidae.
GCCGGGUGCGUGGUGCGUGCCUGUAGCCCCAGCUACUCGGGAGGCUGAGGCUGGAGGAUUUCUUGAGUUCAGGAGUUCUGGGCUGUGGUGCACUAUGCCGAUCGGGUGUCUGCACUAAGUUCAGCAUCAAUAUGGUGACCUCCAGGGAGCGGGGGACCACCAGGUUGCCUAAGGAGGGGGUGAACUGUCCCAGGUCGGAAACAGAGCAGGUCAAAACCCCCGUGCUGAUCAGUAGCGGGAUCCCGCCUGUGAAUAGCCACUGCACUCCAGCCUGGGCAACAUAGCAAGACCCCGUCUCUA